This 206-nucleotide ribosomal RNA is filed under the name uncultured bacterium. Its description in RNAcentral is "partial 16S ribosomal RNA". It matches the Rfam family "Bacterial small subunit ribosomal RNA", at positions 568 to 774 of the family's 1533-position model. The record is from RNAcentral.
CGCGUAGGCGGCCGAUCAAGUCGGAGGUGAAAUCCCUCGGCUCAACUGAGGAAUUGCCUCCGAUACUGUUCGGCUUGAGUCCUGGAGAGGGUAGUGGAAUUCCCAGUGUAGCGGUGAAAUGCGUAGAGACUGGGAAGAACACCAGUGGCGAAGGCGGCUACCUGGACAGGUACUGACGCUGAAGCGCGAAAGCUAGGGAGCAAACA